AGGUGCAGUUUUUCACCUCCAUGUACAGAAGAAGAGUUCUCCAGACCUGCUGGCAUUAACGCUGACACAAAAAUACUGUGGUCCUGAGACUCCUGAGGCAGAAGGAUGUGGGUCUGCUGUCCUCUGCGUCACGACUGACCACGUGAGCCGGAUACUGCUGGAGCGGGGAGAGCGUGAUCAGGGCCGACGAUGAAGAGUGGGAUUGUGCAGAGAUUUGGUUGUGAGCGAUGGUGGAGGAGGGGGGCGUUACCGCGGCGAUGCUCCCCUCUUUGGUCAAACUGCAGUGGGCUUAGUGCGCUCCUGAGCCUGGGGACUUUCAAAGGCUGCAGCUUUGAGGGAGGCCGCCCCCAGACUCCUGAUGAUAGUGAGGUGAAUGGAAGCAGGUACGGAGAGCACGUUCCCACAUUACACUGCGCUUUCAAGUCCCCAUCAGGAUUCUGCUGGUAUAUGGUGCCCGUGUUUAAGAUACUAUAAACAGAUUAGGUCAGCCAGUGUGUUUUCAAUAUGUGGAAACUCUGUCAUGUCCAAAAUCAAAUAAGAUGUCUAAUAGUCUGUAUGAUGGUUGUAUAAGUGGUUGAAUAGAGU
This is a long non-coding RNA of Boleophthalmus pectinirostris (great blue-spotted mudskipper), 585 nucleotides long. RefSeq lists it as uncharacterized. The transcript has 3 exons. Lineage: Eukaryota; Metazoa; Chordata; Actinopteri; Gobiiformes; Gobiidae. The record is from RefSeq and is a predicted model, not a curated record.